AGAGUUGAUCCUGGCUCAGGAUGAACGCUAGCGGCAGGCCUAACACAUGCAAGUCGAGGGGUAGAGUUAGCUUGCUAACUUGAGACCGGCGCACGGGUGCGUAACGCGUAUGCAAUCUACCUUGUACAGAGGGAUAGCCCAGAGAAAUUUGGAUUAAUACCUCAUAGUAUAUUUGAAUCGCAUGGUUUAAAUAUUAAAGUUCCAACGGUACAAGAUGAGCAUGCGUCCCAUUAGUUAGUUGGUAAGGUAACGGCUUACCAAGACAAUGAUGGGUAGGGGUCCUGAGAGGGAGAUCCCCCACACUGGUACUGAGACACGGACCAGACUCCUACGGGAGGCAGCAGUGAGGAAUAUUGGUCAAUGGACGCAAGUCUGAACCAGCCAUGCCGCGUGCAGGAAGACGGUCCUAUGGAUUGUAAACUGCUUUUAUACAGGAAGAAACCACUCUACGUGUAGAGUCUUGACGGUACUGUAGGAAUAAGGAUCGGCUAACUCCGUGCCAGCAGCCGCGGUAAUACGGAGGAUCCAAGCGUUAUCCGGAAUCAUUGGGUUUAAAGGGUCCGUAGGCGGCCUUAUAAGUCAGUGGUGAAAUCUCCUAGCUCAACUAGGAAACUGCCAUUGAUACUGUAGGGCUUGAAUUCUUAUGAAGUAACUAGAAUAUGUAGUGUAGCGGUGAAAUGCUUAGAUAUUACAUGGAAUACCAAUUGCGAAGGCAGGUUACUAAUAAGACAUUGACGCUGAUGGACGAAAGCGUGGGGAGCGAACAGGAUUAGAUACCCUGGUAGUCCACGCCGUAAACGAUGGAUACUAGCUGUUCGGGCGCAAGUUUGAGUGGCUAAGCGAAAGUGAUAAGUAUCCCACCUGGGGAGUACGCACGCAAGUGUGAAACUCAAAGGAAUUGACGG
RNAcentral lists this ribosomal RNA (905 nucleotides) under uncultured marine bacterium. Its description in RNAcentral is "bacterial SSU rRNA". It matches the Rfam family "Bacterial small subunit ribosomal RNA", at positions 8 to 916 of the family's 1533-position model. The record is from RNAcentral.